This 159-nucleotide small nuclear RNA is filed under the name Pogona vitticeps (central bearded dragon). RNAcentral's name for it is "U1 spliceosomal RNA (ENSPVIG00000025480.1)". It matches the Rfam family "U1 spliceosomal RNA". From Rfam's summary of the family: U1 is a small nuclear RNA (snRNA) component of the spliceosome (involved in pre-mRNA splicing). Lineage: Eukaryota; Metazoa; Chordata; Lepidosauria; Squamata; Agamidae. The record is from RNAcentral.
UUACGUGGGGCACCCCAAAAUGCAUGAAGGUGGUUUUCUCAGGUUGAGGCUCACCCAUUGCACUUCAGGUAUGCUGAUCCCUAUGAUUUCCCCAAAUGUGGGAAACUUGACUGCAUAAUUUGUUGUGGGAGGGGGCAGGAGGCACAGGGGCCACUCCAG